This is a microRNA precursor of Gossypium raimondii (Peruvian cotton), 87 nucleotides long. It matches the Rfam family "MIR7486 microRNA precursor family". Lineage: Eukaryota; Viridiplantae; Streptophyta; Magnoliopsida; Malvales; Malvaceae. The record is from Rfam.
CUUAAGGAAGCGCUUUGUCCACGUGGACAGAAAACGCUUCCUUGAGGGCGUACUUUGUCUCCACGUGGACAAAGCACUUCAUUGAGG